Molecule: ribosomal RNA, 2922 nt
Filed under: human gut metagenome
Description: Bacterial large subunit ribosomal RNA
Rfam family: Bacterial large subunit ribosomal RNA
Source: RNAcentral
UUAAAUUAAUAAGGGCGCAUGGUGGAUGCCUUGGCAUUAGAAGACGAAGAAGGACGUGGCAAACUACGAUAUGCUUCGGGGAGAUGUAAGCAAUCUUUGAUCCGGAGAUCUCCGAAUGAGGAAACUCGGUAGCGGCAAACCGCUAUCAUCAUAUAAUGAAUACAUAGUUAUAUGAGGACAACCCAGUGAACUGAAACAUCUUAGUAACUGGAGGAAAAGAAAGAAAAAUCGAUUACCUUAGUAGUGGCGAGCGAAACGGUAACAGCCCAAACCAGUCUUAGGACUGGGGUUGUAGGACAUCACAAUUAAGAAGUUACAAAGUUACAACAUAGCAGAAUAUUCUGGAAAGAAUAUCCAUAGAAGGUGAAAGACCUGUAUGCGAAAUGUUGUGAUCUUCGUGAUGUAUCCUGAGUAAGUCGGGACACGUGAAAUCUUGACUGAAUCUGCGGGGACCAUCCCGUAAGGCUAAAUACUCUCUAAUGACCGAUAGUGAACAAGUACCGUGAGGGAAAGGUGAAAAGAACCCCGGGAGGGGAGUGAAAUAGAGAUUCUGAAACCGUGUGCUUACAAAAAGUUCGAGCCCGUUAAUGGGUGAGAGCGUGCCUUUUGCAGAAUGAGCCGGCGAGUUAUGUUAUCAUGCAAGGUUAAGAAGAAGAUUCGGAGCCGAAGCGAAAGCGAGUCUUAAUAGGGCGAAUAAGUAUGGUGGCAUAGACCCGAAACCGAGUGAUCUAUCCAUGAGCAGGUUGAAGUUGGGGUGAUACCUAAUGGAGGACCGAACCCACGUGUGUUGCAAAACGCGGGGAUGACUUGUGGAUAGCGGAGAAAUUCCAAUCGAACUCGGAUAUAGCUGGUUCUCCCCGAAAUAGGUUUAGGCCUAGCCUUCUAAUUAGCUACCUGGAGGUAGAGCACUGAAUGUGGAAUGGCCGCGUCUAGCGGUACUGACUGCAAUCAAACUCCGAAUGCCAGGCAAGUAUGUAGAGGAGUCAGUGUAUGGGUGAUAACGUCCAUACGCGAGAGGAAAUGAAUCCUGACCAUCGGUUAAGGUCCCAAAGUUUAUGCUAAGUGGAAAAUGAUGUGGAGUCGCAUGAACAGCUAGGAGGUUGGCUUAGAAGCAGCCAUCCUUUAAAGAGUGCGUAAUAGCUCACUAGUCGAGUGGCUCUGCGCAGAACAUGUACCGGGGCUUAAGCAUAACACCGAAACUGUGGAUGUUAGUUUUUAAUUAACAUGGUAGGGGAGCGUUCUAAGGGCGUUGAAGAUAGAUCGUGAGGACUAUUGGAGCGCUUAGAAGUGAGAAUGCCGGCGUGAGUAACGUAAGGAAGGUGAGAAUCCUUCCCACUGAUUGACUAAGGGUUCCUGGGUCAAGUUCGUCUUCCCAGGGUAAGUCAGGACCUAAGGCGAGGCCGAAAGGCGUAGUCGAUGGACAACAGGUUUAUAUUCCUGUACCACCUAUAUGACUGAUGGAGUGACAAAGAAGGCUAAUCAGAGCCAAUUAUUGGAUUUUGGUCUAAGCACAAAGGAGUGUUGGGUAAGCAAAUCUACCAACUAUAACUCUGAAGUGUGAUGGGGAAAAAGUUCUACGGAACUUCAACUCUGAUGAAGCCAAGCUUUCAAGAAAAACUUCUAGGGCUAAUCAUAUAGGUGCCUGUACUCAGAACCGACACUGGUAGUCAAGGAGAGAAUCCUAAGGUGAGCGAGAUAACUAUGGUUAAGGAACUCGGCAAAAUGACCCCGUAACUUCGGAAUAAGGGGAGGUGUAGCGAUACACCCGCAGGAAAUAGGUCCAGGCAACUGUUUACCAAAAACACAGGUCUCUGCUAAAGCGUAAGCUGAUGUAUAGGGGCUGACGCCUGCCCAGUGCUGGAAGGUUAAGAGGAGAUGUUAGUUGGACGCAAGUCGAUAACAACGAAGCUUCGAAUUGAAGCCCCAGUGAACGGCGGCCGUAACUAUAACGGUCCUAAGGUAGCGAAAUUCCUUGUCAGGUAAGUUCUGACCCGCACGAAAGGCGUAAUGAUCUGGACGCUGUCUCAACCAUAGACUCGGUGAAAUCUUAAUACCUGUGAAAAUGCAGGUUACCCGCUACAGGACAAAAAGACCCCGUGGAGCUUUACUGCAACUUGAUAUUGAAAUCAGAUGUAACAUGUAGAGGAUAGGUGGGAGACUUUGAAGUUAGGACGUCAGUUCUAAUGGAGUCAACCUUGGAAUACCACCCUUGUUAUGUUUGACUUCUAACUUGCGCCCAUUAUCUGGGUGGAGGACAGUGUCUGGUGGGCAGUUUGACUGGGGCGGUCGCCUCCCAAAGAGUAACGGAGGCGCCCAAAGGUUCCCUCAGAAUGGUUGGAAAUCAUUCGUAGAGUGUAAUGGCAGAAGGGAGCUUAACUGCGAGACCUACAAGUCAAGCAGAUGCGAAAGCAGGGCAUAGUGAUCUUGCGAUCCCGAAUGGAAGGGUCGUUGCUUAACGGAUAAAAGUUACCCCGGGGAUAACAGGCUGAUCCCACCCAAUAGUUCAUAUAGACGGUGGGGUUUGGCACCUCGAUGUCGGCUCGUCGUAUCCUGGAGGUGGAAUCGCUUCCAAGGGUUGGGCUGUUCGCCCAUUAAAACGGCACGCGAGCUGGGUUCAGAACGUCGUGAGACAGUUCGGUCUCUAUCCGUAGUGGGCGUUAGAAAAUUGAGGAGAGCUUUUCCUAGUACGAGAGGACCGGAAAGGACGAACCGAUGGUGUAUCAGUUGUCUCGCCAGAGGCAGUGCUGAGUAGCUAUGUUCGGAAGGGAUAAUCGCUGAAGGCAUCUAAGCGAGAAGCCCUCUCCAAGAUGAGUUUUCUUUAUCUUCAAGAUAUAAGAUCCCUUGUAGACGACAAGGUUGAUAGGUUAGAUGUGUAAGCAUAGUGAUAUGUUGAGCUGACUAAUACUAAUAGAUCGAUAGUUU